CAGCAGUUACCCUGCUGGAACACCUGCUCGGGGAGGACAUCAGAAGAACCUCAACGUCCAUCAGUGGGGUAAGAAGCCAGGUGUGGUUCCCGUGUCUGCUCUCCGCAGCCCUCCUGGGAGGGUUUGAAGAGACAGCUGAGAGCGGCCAGCUGGGAAGAGCACGCUUGCCUUGUCAGCGGAGAGUAGGUUCUGAGCUCUGCUGAGUCAGCGUGGCCAGGCAGGGCUGGGGGGCCUCAGGGCUCCAGGCCCCACCUCUUACCUCUACAGUCUCCCACCCCGGCUGCCUGCCCCAGCCGGUCAAAAUGCCAGGUAACCCCCGGUGGAGAUAGGCACCUGUGAGAAGUAUCACUGCUUCGUGGGUCAGGGGCUUGGACCCACCAGGGCUGUGUCACCUGCGGACCAUGUGAACUCAAGUGCGGUCUUCGCUAAGAGGCCAAGCAAGAUGAUGUAAUCACCUGAUGAGUUCCUCCUGCCCACUGCACAGACAAAACCAAUUCACUGAGACGACGGCAUUGCAAUAAAGAAAGAGCUUAAUUGACACAAGGUUGGCCACUCCUGUCUCAAAUCAAAUCAAUCUGAAAAUUUGGAGGCUAGGGUUUUUAAAGGAUACUUUGGUGGGCAGGGGGCUGGGGAAUGGGGGCUGCUGAUUGGUUGGGGAUGCAAUCACAGGGUUGUGGAAAUUGGUCCUUGUGCACCAAGUCCACUUCUGGGCGGGCUCCCCAGGACCGGCUGAGCCAAGAGUUGAAGGUCUGGGUGGGGCCAUCCGGUCAUCAGAAAUGCAGGUAAAGACAUCUCAAAAGGCCAAUCUUAGGUUCCACAAUAGUGAAUUGGGACAGUUGCAAAUCUUGUAUCCUCUGGAAUAAUGGCUGGUUGUCAUUUAACUAUGCCUGCGUCUUAGCGAAAUUUAGGCCCCUCUCAUCCUCCUAACCUGGUGGCCUUUCUUUUCUUUUCAUUUUUUUUUAAGAAACAGGUUCUUACUCUGUCCCCCAGGCAGGAAUGCAGUGGUGUGAUCGUGGCUCACUGCAGCUUAAAACUCCUGGGCUCAAGUGAUCCUCCCACUU
RNAcentral lists this long non-coding RNA (1061 nucleotides) under Homo sapiens (human). RNAcentral's name for it is "HSALNT0195667". Lineage: Eukaryota; Metazoa; Chordata; Mammalia; Primates; Hominidae. The record is from RNAcentral.